Molecule: ribosomal RNA, 440 nt
Filed under: uncultured bacterium
Lineage: Bacteria
Description: bacterial SSU rRNA
Rfam family: Bacterial small subunit ribosomal RNA
Source: RNAcentral
AACGCGAAGAACCUUACCCAGGCUUGAACAGCGAGUGACCACUCACGAAAGUGAGCUUCCGCAAGGACACUCGUAGAGGUGCUGCAUGGCUGUCGUCAGCUCGUGUCGUGAGAUGUUGGGUUAAGUCCCGCAACGAGCGCAACCCUUGUCUGCUGUUGCCAUCAGGUUAUGCUGGGCACUCUGCAGAGACUGCCGGUGAUAAACCGGAGGAAGGUGGGGAUGACGUCAAGUCAGCAUAGCCUUUAUGUCUGGGGCUACACACGUGCUACAAUGGCCGGUACAAACCGUCGCGAGCCCGCAAGGGGGAGCUAAUCGGAGAAAGCCGGUCUCAGUUCGGAUAGCAGGCUGCAACUCGCCUGCUUGAAGCUGGAAUCGCUAGUAAUGCUAUAUCAGAACGAUAGCGUGAAUACGUUCCCGGGCCUUGUACACACCGACGCGUA